RNAcentral lists this ribosomal RNA (402 nucleotides) under Streptomyces sp. RNAcentral describes it as "bacterial SSU rRNA". It matches the Rfam family "Bacterial small subunit ribosomal RNA", at positions 955 to 1353 of the family's 1533-position model. Lineage: Bacteria; Bacillati; Actinomycetota; Actinomycetes; Kitasatosporales; Streptomycetaceae. The record is from RNAcentral.
CGCAACGCGAAGAACCUUACCAAGGCUUGACAUAUACCGGAAAGCAUUAGAGAUAGUGCCCCCCUUGUGGUCGGUAUACAGGUGGUGCAUGGCUGUCGUCAGCUCGUGUCGUGAGAUGUUGGGUUAAGUCCCGCAACGAGCGCAACCCUUGUCCUGUGUUGCCAGCAUGCCCUUCGGGGUGAUGGGGACUCACAGGAGACCGCCGGGGUCAACUCGGAGGAAGGUGGGGACGACGUCAAGUCAUCAUGCCCCUUAUGUCUUGGGCUGCACACGUGCUACAAUGGCCGGUACAAUGAGCUGCGAUACCGUGAGGUGGAGCGAAUCUCAAAAAGCCGGUCUCAGUUCGGAUUGGGGUCUGCAACUCGACCCCAUGAAGUCGGAGUCGCUAGUUUCUUUUUUAGU